RNAcentral lists this ribosomal RNA (142 nucleotides) under Pseudomonas aeruginosa. RNAcentral's name for it is "partial 16S ribosomal RNA". It matches the Rfam family "Bacterial small subunit ribosomal RNA", at positions 1 to 133 of the family's 1533-position model. Lineage: Bacteria; Pseudomonadati; Pseudomonadota; Gammaproteobacteria; Pseudomonadales; Pseudomonadaceae. The record is from RNAcentral.
AGCAGUAUUGARCUGAAGAGUUUGAUCAUGGCUCAGAUUGAACGCUGGCGGCAGGCCUAACACAUGCAAGUCGAGCGGAUGAAGGGAGCUUGCUCCUGGAUUCAGCGGCGGACGGGUGAGUAAUGCCUAGGAAUCUGCCUGG